GACGACGAGGCAGUGAUUAGAGUUUGAUCCUGGCUCAGGACGAACGCUGGCGGCGUGCUUAACACAUGCAAGUCGAACGGGGAAUUUUAUUUCGGUAGAAUUCCUAGUGGCGAACGGGUGAGUAACGCGUAGGCAACCUGCCCUUCAGACGGGGACAACAUUCCGAAAGGGAUGCUAAUACCGGAUACGAAGCUUCUGCCGCAUGACGGAAGCUUGAAAGGUGCCCUCAAGCACCGCUGAAGGAUGGGCCUGCGUCCGAUUAGCUGGUUGGUGGGGUAACGGCUCACCAAGGCGACGAUCGGUAGCCGGUCUGAGAGGAUGAACGGCCACAUUGGGACUGAGACACGGCCCAGACUCCUACGGGAGGCAGCAGUGGGGAAUCUUCCGCAAUGGGCGAAAGCCUGACGGAGCAACGCCGCGUGAGUGAUGAAGUUCUUCGGAACGUAAAACUCUGUUGUUCACGACGAACGGGGGGACCAGGAAAUGGGUUUCCAGUGACGGUAGUGAACGAGGAAGCCACGGCUAACUACGUGCCAGCAGCCGCGGUAAUACGUAGGUGGCAAGCGUUGUCCGGAAUUAUUGGGCGUAAAGCGCAUGUAGGCGGUUCCUUAAGUCGGUCGUGAAAAUGCGGUGCUUAACGCCGUAUGGCGAUCGAAACUGGGGGACUUGAGUGCAGGAGAGGAAAGGGGAACUCCCAGUGUAGCGGUGAAAUGCGUAGAUAUUGGGAAGAACACCGGUGGCGAACGCGCCUUUCUGGACUGUGUCUGACGCUGAGAUGCGAAAGCCAGGGUAGCGAACGGGAUUAGAUACCCCGGUAGUCCUGGCCGUAAACGAUGGGUACUAUGUGUGGGAGGUAUCGACCCCUUCCGUGCCGGAGUUAACGCAAUAAGUACCCCGCCUGGGGAGUACGCCGCAGCUUAAACUCAAAGGAUUGACGGGGCCCGCACAGCGUGAGUAUGUGUUUAUCGACGCACGCGAGACUUACAGCUGACAUUGAGUGAAGACUGAGACAGUCCCUCUCGAGCACGAAACAGUUGUGCAUGCUGUCGUCAGCUCUGUCUGGAUGUCGUAGUCCGCACGAGCCCACCCUAUCUAUGUACAGCAUAGUGGACUCAUAGGAACUGCAGGGAACUGAGAGGCGGAAUAGCUCAGUCUAUGCUAAGUCUGGUUAACGUUCUCAUGUUCGCCACAAAAGACAGCGGAAACUCG
RNAcentral lists this ribosomal RNA (1209 nucleotides) under uncultured bacterium. Its description in RNAcentral is "bacterial SSU rRNA". It matches the Rfam family "Bacterial small subunit ribosomal RNA", at positions 1 to 1259 of the family's 1533-position model. The record is from RNAcentral.